RNAcentral lists this ribosomal RNA (462 nucleotides) under uncultured bacterium. RNAcentral's name for it is "partial 16S ribosomal RNA". It matches the Rfam family "Bacterial small subunit ribosomal RNA", at positions 28 to 507 of the family's 1533-position model. The record is from RNAcentral.
GACGAACGCUGGCGGCGUGCUUAACACAUGCAAGUCGAACGGAAAGGCCCUUCGGGGUACUCGAGUGGCGAACGGGUGAGUAACACGUGGGCGAUCUGCCCUGCACUUUGGGAUAAGCCUGGGAAACUGGGUCUAAUACCGAAUAGGACCACGCGCUUCAUGGUGAGUGGUGGAAAGCUUUUGCGGUGUGGGUUGGGCCCGCGGCCUAUCAGCUUGUUGGUGGGGUAAUGGCCUACCAAGGCGACGACGGGUAGCCGGCCUGAGAGGGUGACCGGCCACACUGGGACUGGGAUACGGCCCAGACUCCUACGGGAGGCAGCAGUGGGGAAUAUUGCACAAUGGGCGCAAGCCUGAUGCAGCGACGCCGCGUGGGGGAUGACGGCCUUCGGGUUGUAAACCUCUUUCAAUAGGGACGAAGCGCAAGUGACGGUACCUAUAGAAGAAGCACCGGCCAACUACGUG